CCUUGUUCUUUCCUCAAACCCUCAAAGACUGCCUUUUCUUCUUCACUUCUUCAUUUAUUCCCUUCACUUCUCAACUUUCCUCCCAAAUCCUUCUCAAGCCUCAGCCAUCAAUUCUUCAUUUUCAAAAUUUCCCCUCCCAAAUCCAUUUUUCGUCGUCGGCUCACAGACAUGACGACGCCCGGAUGAACUCGCAAGCAACCACAACUCUUCGUUUUAGAGCUUUGAGACAUACUCAUGGGUAAGCGAGUCACUCUUCUUUCACGCCUCACAAAUCGCCAUCUGGGUUCUACGAUUCUGGGAUUGCCUAUGGGUUUUGAAAUUCUACUUUUAUGAUUCGGUUUGGGUUCAUGGGUAUGCGAUUCAGUCUUUGGAGAUUCUGAAUCUGCUUAUGGCUGAGAUUUGGUCUGGGUUCUUUGCCUACUGUUGUUGCUUUUUGCUUAAGAUAAAUUUGAAAUUUUGAUUAUUGGUUCAUCUGUUUUGGUUGGG
Molecule: unclassified non-coding RNA, 486 nt
Filed under: Hevea brasiliensis (rubber tree)
Lineage: Eukaryota; Viridiplantae; Streptophyta; Magnoliopsida; Malpighiales; Euphorbiaceae
Source: RNAcentral